GACGAACGCUGUCGGCGUGCUUAACACAUGCAAGUCGAACGGAAAGGCCCUGCUUUUGUGGGGUGCUCGAGUGGCGAACGGGUGAGUAACACGUGAGUAACCUGCCCUUGACUUUGGGAUAACUUCAGGAAACUGGGGCUAAUACCGGAUAGGAGCUCCUGCUGCAUGGUGGGGGUUGGAAAGUUUCGGCGGUUGGGGAUGGACUCGCGGCUUAUCAGCUUGUUGGUGGGGUAGUGGCUUACCAAGGCUUUGACGGGUAGCCGGCCUGAGAGGGUGACCGGCCACAUUGGGACUGAGAUACGGCCCAGACUCCUACGGGAGGCAGCAGUGGGGAAUAUUGCACAAUGGGCGGAAGCCUGAUGCAGCAACGCCGCGUGCGGGAUGACGGCCUUCGGGUUGUAAACCGCUUUCGCCUGUGACGAAGCGUGAGUGACGGUAAUGGGUAAAGAAGCACCGGCUAACUACGUGCCAGCAGCCGCGGUGAUACGUAGGGUGCGAGCGUUGUCCGGAUUUAUUGGGCGUAAAGGGCUCGUAGGUGGUUGAUCGCGUCGGAAGUGUAAUCUUGGGGCUUAACCCUGAGCGUGCUUUCGAUACGGGGUGACUUGAGGAAGGGUAGGGGAGAAUGGAAUUCCCUGGUGGAGCGGUGGAAUGCGCAGAUAUCAGGAGGAACAACCAGUGGCGAAGGGCGGUUCUCUGGCCCUUUCCUGACGCUGAGGAGCGAAAGCGUGGGGAGCGAACAGGCUUAGAUACCCUGGUAGUCCACGCUGUAAACGGUGGGUACUAGUGUGGGGGUCCAUUCCACGGGUUCCGUGCCGUAGCUAACGCUUUAAGUACCCCGCCUGGGGAGUACGGCCGCAAGGCUAAAACUCAAAGGAAUUGACGGGGCCCCGCACAAGCGGCGGAGCAUGCGGAUUAAUUCGAUGCAACGCGUAGAACCUUACCUGGGUUUGACAUGGAUCGGGAGUGCUCAGAGAUGGGUGUGCCUCUUUUGGGGUCGGUUCACAGGUGGUGCAUGCCUGUCGUCAGCUCGUGUCGUGAGAUGUUGGGUUAAGUCCCGCAACGAGCGCAACCCUUGUUCACUGUUGCCAGCACGUUAUGGUGGGGACUCAGUGGAGACCGCCGAGGUCAACUCGGAGGAAGGUGGGGAUGACGUCAAGUCAUCAUGCCCCUUAUGUCCAGGGCUUCACGCAUGCUACAAUGGCUGGUACAGAGAGUGGCGAGCCUGUGAGGGUGAGCGAAUCUCGGAAAGCCGGUCUCAGUUCGGAUUGGGGUCUGCAACUCGACCUCAUGAAGUCGGAGUCGCUAGUAAUCGCAGAUCAGCAACGCUGCGGUGAAUACGUUCCCGGG
RNAcentral lists this ribosomal RNA (1347 nucleotides) under uncultured bacterium. Its description in RNAcentral is "16S ribosomal RNA". It matches the Rfam family "Bacterial small subunit ribosomal RNA", at positions 28 to 1378 of the family's 1533-position model. The record is from RNAcentral.